UUUUUUAUAUUUUUAGUAGAGAUGGGGUUUCACCAUGUUGCCCUAUCUGAUCCCACUCAGCCUCUGAGGUUCUGUUAAGUUCUCACCUUCUUUAUGAAUUUUCCCCAGCCAUAAUGAUCUCUUCAACCUCUCUGAGCUUUUACUAUUUAUACUCUUUACCUAACCACUAAAUGGCUUUUGUGAAAUGUGAGAAGAUAUAAAUAUGAAUGAAUAAAAUACUGUAUGUCACAAAAUAUUUAAUCAUUUACAACUAAUAGCAUCUUCUUGUGAUGUUCCUUUUAGUGUAUUUCUAUUUUGUUUUCUCAAGGAAUUAGGGUAUAUGCUCAUUCACAUCAUCUACCAUGCCUUACUCUUUCUUGUAAACCUCAUAAAUCUUAUCACUGUUUUUUAAUGGAAGAGCUCAUUAAAUAUUUAUUAUUAGAGGCGGGGCGCAGUGGCUUAUGCCUGUAAUCCCAGCACUUUGGGAGGCCGAGGUGGGCGGAUCAUGAGGUCAGGAGUUCAAGAUCAGCUUGGCCAAGAUGGUGAAACCCCAUCUCUACUAAAAAUACAAAAAAAAAAUUAGCCGGGCAUGGUGGUGGGCGCCUGUAAUCCCAGCUACUCGGGAGGCUGAGGCGGAGAAUUGCUUAAACGCAGGAGGUGGAGGAUGCAGUGAGCCGAGAUCGCGCCACUGCACUCCAGCCUGGGCGACAGAGCGAAACUCCAUCUC
RNAcentral lists this long non-coding RNA (706 nucleotides) under Homo sapiens (human). RNAcentral's name for it is "HSALNT0221137". Lineage: Eukaryota; Metazoa; Chordata; Mammalia; Primates; Hominidae. The record is from RNAcentral.